UCAAUAUGGGAAAGACCCUGUCAUUUUCAUAUGAUUAAGGGUACUUCUCAGGCCAUAGCUUUCGACAGCCCGAUUGGCAGCUCGAAAACCAUCUCCGUAUGCCUCAGAUGAAUCCGUUUCGAUCUGAUGUUUGAUGAAUGCUCCGAGCUUCUUCUCGAAUUCGGUCUUUGCGCCCUUCUUUGAUGUGGUUGGAGUUGAAGAUGACGACGACGAAGAUGCCACUGAGGUGGCUGAUAUGUCGAUACUAGAACCAAAGAUGAUCUCUGACUCGAGCCACAUGUGGGAAAGAACUUGGCAUAUGCCUUCUUCAACCUGAGGACUAAGAGACCGAAAUCCUAGAGAGAGAGAAAAAAAAGAUGAAAAACUAAAACUUAUACAAUGUACCUCGGCAACCCAUAUAAUAUCAGGAUUGCAGUCACUUCACAUCGUCUUUCCAGCUUAUAUGGUGCUGUGAUCAUAUCUAUAAUUCUGUUUCCCGGUCCAAUUAUUGGCGGUAUUUAACUCACCGUUCUGACAAUUUGCUCUUCAGAAAGACAUAGUCCCCUUGUUUCAGGAAGAUGAUGCCCCUGAGAUGACAGAAAUUGAAAACCUUCCUCAUUUAGAGCCUGUCUCUCAACCAAGAGUAUUGGAACUUGUUGCUCCACUUUCAUGUUCAGACCUUCAAAAAAUUCCUGAAUGUCCAUAUACAGCUGUUGACACUCUGGUGUAUCCAUUAUUGAAGAAUUGAGACAUUCCAAGCAGAGUUUCCUCCCAUCAUCUAAUGUGAUGAUCUAGAUCCCUGCACUGACCUCCAUUCUUUCACAACUGCAACACCUAGGAGUGCCAUCAUCUUCAUGGGAAGGACAGUACUUUUGCAUCCAGAAUGGAUGUGCUCGGUAUUCGAUCAGCCCAUUCCUGUUCGUUGGAAUCUGUUUCUUGCAGACAUCACAUUUUGGAUGGAAAAAAUCUUUGUAGCAUGAUUUGUGGUAUGGCUGAUCUUCAUGCAUAGCAAACUGAAAUAGAAGAAAAUAAAGAUGGGCUUGUUACAAGCAAAACACCUGAAGCACUGAGGAUGCCAUACUGAAUCCAUACAGCUAAGAAAACGUCCAUGACCAAUUGGGUUUUUGCAUCCAGCACAAGUUCUGCAAAAUCGGGAAUGAAAAAAAAAAGGACUGUAGCUCUCUCUUGGGGGCUCUGAUGGAACAUUCUCAACAGGAAUAUUCUGACGUGGAGGAGAGUCAGCAUUAAGGCUCUCCUGGAGAGCUCGUGCAAGUUGUUCAUCUUCCUCCAAAUUAUAAUCGAUAUCAACAGCUUUUCCCUUAUUUUGUUCUUCUGAUAAAGACAGUGCAAUAGCACGAUCUAUAUCUUCAUUAUCACUUUCAU
RNAcentral lists this small RNA (1362 nucleotides) under Oryza sativa Japonica Group (Japanese rice). RNAcentral describes it as "sRNA Os12g0596850". Lineage: Eukaryota; Viridiplantae; Streptophyta; Magnoliopsida; Poales; Poaceae. The record is from RNAcentral.